Molecule: ribosomal RNA, 252 nt
Filed under: uncultured bacterium
Lineage: Bacteria
Description: partial 16S ribosomal RNA
Rfam family: Bacterial small subunit ribosomal RNA
Source: RNAcentral
UACGUAGGGGGCAAGCGUUGUCCGGAAUUAUUGGGCGUAAAGCGCGCGCAGGCGGUCAUGUAAGUCUGGUGUUUAAUCCCGAAGCUCAACUUCGGGUCGCAUCGGAAACUGGGUGACUUGAGUGCAGAAGAGGAGAGUGGAAUUCCACGUGUAGCGGUGAAAUGCGUAGAGAUGUGGAGGAACACCAGUGGCGAAGGCGACUCUCUGGGCUGUAACUGACGCUGAGGCGCGAAAGCGUGGGGAGCAAACAGG